UGUUAAUGAUGUUAGUGGUAGUCCAGAAGGGUGGGCUACAUAUCAUAUAAGUGUAUUGAGUGAUCAAUGGUGGACCACAAUGUAUUAUAAUAUUUGCAUGUGUUAGAGUGAAUCAUAACGAAGUUCGUAUCGAUAAAUUGUUGUGACAUGGUGAAUCAUUUGAAUUGUUUGUUCACUUGUGAUUGUGAUAAUUCAUAAAGGUGGAUUAUGUUGUGCAUGGUUG
RNAcentral lists this long non-coding RNA (223 nucleotides) under Lathyrus oleraceus (garden pea). Its description in RNAcentral is "Pisum sativum (pea) long non-coding RNA (PSAT_LNC031714)". Lineage: Eukaryota; Viridiplantae; Streptophyta; Magnoliopsida; Fabales; Fabaceae. The record is from RNAcentral.